RNAcentral lists this long non-coding RNA (596 nucleotides) under Pan troglodytes (chimpanzee). Its description in RNAcentral is "lincRNA". Lineage: Eukaryota; Metazoa; Chordata; Mammalia; Primates; Hominidae. The record is from RNAcentral.
AGCACACUCUACAGAUGUUACCAGUGGAGGGUGUCCAGAUUCUUGGCAUUUUAAACAAAGAAUUGGAAAAAAAUCUCACAAAUAAAGCAAUGAAAGAAAAGCACAGAUUUAUUGAAACGAAAGUACACUCCACAGAGCAGGAGUGGGCUUCAGCAAGUAGCUCAUGAGCACUGGUUACAGAAUUUUCUGCGAUUUAAAUACUCUCUAGAGAUUUCCCAUUGGUUACUUGUAAAUUACUAUGUAAAUUAAGUAGUGGCCCUCAAUCAGAGGCUGAAGUGAAAUUACAAAGUUAUACUCCUAUUUAGAUGAAGACUUGGCCCCGACCAGCCUGAUUGGUUGCAAGAGGGGACCAAUCAGAGGAAGUCAGUGUGAAUCGGCCUUAGGUUCCCUGCCUCCAGACCCUAUUCUCCUGACUCACAGAGAGAUCACACGAAGCAGGUAGACCCACAAGAAUCAUGAUGGCCAAGUCUCUCAGUCUGACCUACUGGUUAUGAACACAGCCUUUGUCAUUCCUGACCACAGCUUCAAUGUGGAGAGGAAACCUCUCUGAGCCAGCCAGUCAGCACCAAACAGACUAUGCCAGUGACCCAGAAGCA